This 457-nucleotide ribosomal RNA is filed under the name uncultured bacterium. RNAcentral's name for it is "bacterial SSU rRNA". It matches the Rfam family "Bacterial small subunit ribosomal RNA", at positions 29 to 507 of the family's 1533-position model. The record is from RNAcentral.
AACGAACGCUGGCGGCAGGCCUAACACAUGCAAGUCGAGCGAGGUAGCAAUACCUAGCGGCGGACGGGUUAGUAACGCGUGGGAACGUGCCCAAAGGUACGGAAUAGCCUCGGGAAACUGAGAGUAAUACCGUAUGUGCCCUUCGGGGGAAAGAUUUAUCGCCUUUGGAUCGGCCCGCGUUGGAUUAGGUAGUUGGUGGGGUAAUGGCCUACCAAGCCGACGAUCCAUAGCUGGUUUGAGAGGAUGAUCAGCCACACUGGAACUGAGACACGGUCCAGACUCCUACGGGAGGCAGCAGUAGGGAAUAUUGGACAAUGGGGGCAACCCUGAUCCAGCCAUGCCGCGUGAGUGAAGAAGGCCCUCGGGUUGUAAAGCUCUUUUGUCCGGAAAGAAAGCAAUCGGUUAAUACCCGGUUGUUCUGACGGUACCGGAAGAAUAAGCACCGGCUAACUUCGUG